CGGGGGCAGCCCCACUCAACGCUGGCUUGCCAAUGAACGUGUGUAGGACUAGGAGGACGCGGAUCGCACUGCGCGGCCGCAGCCCUCCUCCGCCGGAAGCACGCGUGCUUGGGAGAGCGGGGCAGCGUACCGGUAGAGCCGGGUGGGAUUUGCUUCGGAGCGAAUGCGCGAUGGAAACCAGCAGGGAGGUUGCGCCCGGCGGCAGCCGGGUCCUGACUCUGUGUACCUGGAAGUCAGUUUUUCAUUGAGUGCAACGGGGCUUCCUCGUGACUGAGUGCCGAAGAGAAGCGGCUCAGCGGUGCUGAAGGACGCCGACAUAGAAGCAGUCUUAACUCCAGGAAUCGUGCUGCAGGAAUAUUGUUGAACCGCCAGGGUCCAGGUACUAUGGCAACCAGGGCCAGUCCCAAAGCCCGAGAGCCAGUAGCCCAGAGGUUGUAAAGUUGCAGCGAUUUGUCGGGGAACAGCUACGUUGAAGAAGGACUGGCUGGUACAAGUUUCCGAUUUAAAGAUGGAGGAGGAGGAAGACAGCAGAGGAAUGCAGAUAUGGGAACGGUUCAGCCCAGGGAUGAAUUUGAGCAGUCUCUUGCGGAAGCUCCCCGGUUUGCUCUUCCUGGGCCUUGGCACGGCUGCGGAGUUCUUUUGGUCGCAUGAUCUGUCCCAGAACCGCGCGACUCCAUUGCUGCUGCUGUGGCUGCUGCUUGUGCAUUUGACGCUGGCGCUGCGGGUAUACAUAGGCUAUAGAGCUUCACCCCCACUUUUGAGGACGAGGAAGGCAUGGCCGGAUCCAUCUUUCCAGCUACAAAGGCCCAGCAACCCUUUUUCGAGAAGAAAGACACGACAAAAGAUUCUGGAAACUACUAAUUCACAGCCAGGUACCAGAACCGUAGAGUUUGAAAGUGACUACGUUGGCCCUGCAUUAUAUGUAAGAGGUCCAGGUGGCUGCUGUUGAAAGGAAAAGCCAUCAGGGUGCCUCUCAGGACCAAACUACAGCUCCCUGCUAUGUUAAGCCUGGGUGAUAUAUCGCCUGGGACCAGUAUGAGGGGCAGACCAUGCUGGUGGUUUCUCUAGGAGGUAUAUCGCUAGUAAAACCACCAGUGUUGCCAAUUCCCUCCACAGGACACAGGAGCGGCAGCAGUUUUGCCAGCGCUAUGCUGAGUGAAACCGCCAUUGCAGUCUGCCCCUCAUACCAGUGCAGAGGGAGAAACAAGACACAAUACAGUGGUGCCUCGCUAGACGAAUGCCCUGUUAGACGAAUUUUCCGCUAUACGAAUAGGUUUUGCGAUCAGAGGUUACCUCG
Zootoca vivipara (common lizard) is the source of this 1297-nucleotide long non-coding RNA. RefSeq lists it as uncharacterized. The record is from RefSeq and is a predicted model, not a curated record. NCBI's taxonomy places the organism in Eukaryota, Metazoa, Chordata, Lepidosauria, Squamata, Lacertidae.